Molecule: ribosomal RNA, 450 nt
Filed under: uncultured Glomeromycotina
Lineage: Eukaryota; Fungi; Glomeromycota
Description: SSU rRNA
Rfam family: Eukaryotic small subunit ribosomal RNA
Source: RNAcentral
AGCAGCCGCGGUAAUUCCAGCUCCAAUAGCGUAUAUUAAAGUUGUUGCAGUUAAAAAGCUCGUAGUUGAACUUCGGGGUUUACCCAUUGGUCAGGCUUAAUUGUCUGUACUGGUGAGAUGAAUCUCUACCUUCUGAGGAACUUUUAUGCCAUUUAGUUGGUGUGAUAGGAAAUCAGGACUGUUACUUUGAAAAAAUUAGAGUGUUUAAAGCAAGCUAACGUCUGAAUACAUUAGCAUGGAAUAAUGAAAUAGGACGGAUUGGUUCUAUUUCGUUGGUUUCUAGGAUCACCGUAAUGAUUAAUAGGGAUAGUUGGGGGCAUUAGUAUUCAAUUGCCAGAGGUGAAAUUCUUGGAUUUAUUGAAGACUAACUAUUGCGAAAGCAUUUGCCAAGGAUGUUUUCAUUAAUCAAGAACGAAAGUUAGGGGAUCGAAGACGAUCAGAUACCGUCGU